UUCAACUGUGCCGCCAUUUUGGGCGUUGAACUGUGGUCCAGCAUGCUUUGCUUUGCACAAACCAAAACAGCUGCUACUGAUGCAGCUGGGCGAGAAGAGAAGACAGUUUGAUGAAGCCGUGCUGGCGAUACUCAGGAUCACAGAGAAGCUGAGUGGACGAAGACGUGAACUCGAACAGUUACAGAAAGAUGAUGCGAAGGUGGAAAAGAGGCCACAAGAGGUCCUGGCUGCGUAAGACGGGCAGAAAACUACCGAGUAAGGCGUGCUGUUACAGCUUGCCUCCACUGGAGGGCAGUCUGCUCUGUAAAAAUUGAAUGUGUGGGUGGAACUGAUUGAAGAACAACUGAAUGAUCAGAGAAGAGAGAAGGAGAGAGCCAAGUGUCAAAUGGACAGAGAUAAUAUCUGGAGAGGAAGAAGAGCAGAAUGAAAGAAAAGGAAAGGCAUGUGCAUUGUUGUGUGAUAGAGGAGGUGACAGA
This is a long non-coding RNA of Acanthopagrus latus (yellowfin seabream), 476 nucleotides long. RefSeq lists it as uncharacterized. NCBI's taxonomy places the organism in Eukaryota, Metazoa, Chordata, Actinopteri, Spariformes, Sparidae. The transcript has 4 exons. The record is from RefSeq and is a predicted model, not a curated record.